AUUGAACGCUGGCGGCAGGCCUAACACAUGCAAGUCGAGCGGAUGAAGGGAACUUGCUCCUGGAUUCAGCUGCGGACGGGCGGGUAAUUCCUAGGUAUCUGCCUGGUAGUGGGGGCUAACGUCCGGAAACGGGAGCUAAUACCGCAUACGUCCAGAGGGAGAAAGUGGGGGAUCAUCGGACCUCACGCUAUCAGAUGAGCCUAGGUCGGAUUAGCUAGUUGGUGGGGUAAAGGCCUACCAAGGCGACGAUCCGUAGCUGGUCUGAGAGGAUGAUCAGUCACACUGGAACUGAGACACGGUCCAGACUCCUACGGGAGGCAGCAGUGGGGAAUAUUGGACAAUGGGCGAAAGCCUGAUCCAGCCAUGCCGCGUGUGUGAAGAAGGUCUUCGGAUUGUAAAGCACUUUUAGUUGGGAGGAAGGGCAGUAAGUUAAUACCUUGCUGUUUUGACGUUACCAAAAGAAUAAGCACCGGCUAACUUCGUG
RNAcentral lists this ribosomal RNA (484 nucleotides) under uncultured bacterium. RNAcentral describes it as "partial 16S ribosomal RNA". It matches the Rfam family "Bacterial small subunit ribosomal RNA", at positions 30 to 507 of the family's 1533-position model. The record is from RNAcentral.